This 694-nucleotide ribosomal RNA is filed under the name Vibrio sp. RE22. RNAcentral describes it as "bacterial SSU rRNA". It matches the Rfam family "Bacterial small subunit ribosomal RNA", at positions 40 to 712 of the family's 1533-position model. The record is from RNAcentral. Lineage: Bacteria; Pseudomonadati; Pseudomonadota; Gammaproteobacteria; Vibrionales; Vibrionaceae.
CGGCAGGCCUAACACAUGCAAGUCGAGCGUGAAACGAGUUAUCUGAACCUUCGGGGAACGAUAACGGCGUCGAGCGGCGGACGGGUGAGUAAUGCCUGGGAAAUUGCCCUGAUGUGGGGGAUAACCAUUGGAAACGAUGGCUAAUACCGCAUAAUAGCUUCGGCUCAAAGAGGGGGACCUUCGGGCCUCUCGCGUCAGGAUAUGCCCAGGUGGGAUUAGCUAGUUGGUGAGGUAAUGGCUCACCAAGGCGACGAUCCCUAGCUGGUCUGAGAGGAUGAUCAGCCACACUGGAACUGAGACACGGUCCAGACUCCUACGGGAGGCAGCAGUGGGGAAUAUUGCACAAUGGGCGCAAGCCUGAUGCAGCCAUGCCGCGUGUAUGAAGAAGGCCUUCGGGUUGUAAAGUACUUUCAGCAGUGAGGAAGGUGUAUGUGUUAAUAGCGCCUGUAUUUGACGUUAGCUGCAGAAGAAGCACCGGCUAACUCCGUGCCAGCAGCCGCGGUAAUACGGAGGGUGCGAGCGUUAAUCGGAAUUACUGGGCGUAAAGCGCAUGCAGGUGGUUUGUUAAGUCAGAUGUGAAAGCCCGGGGCUCAACCUCGGAAUAGCAUUUGAAACUGGCAGACUAGAGUACUGUAGAGGGGGGUAGAAUUUCAGGUGUAGCGGUGAAAUGCGUAAAGAUCUGAAGGAAUACCGG